UACGAAGGGGGCUAGCGUUGUUCGGAAUUACUGGGCGUAAAGCGCACGUAGGCGGAUUGUUAAGUCGGGGGUGAAAUCCUGAGGCUCAACCUCAGAACUGCCUUCGAUACUGGCAAUCUCGAGUCCGGAAGAGGUUGGUGGAACAGCUAGUGUAGAGGUGAAAAUUCGUAGAUAUUAGCUAGAACACCAGUGGCGAAGGCGGCCAACUGGUCCGGUACUGACGCUGAGGUGCGAAAGCGUGGGGGAGCAACAGG
RNAcentral lists this ribosomal RNA (254 nucleotides) under uncultured bacterium. Its description in RNAcentral is "partial 16S ribosomal RNA". It matches the Rfam family "Bacterial small subunit ribosomal RNA", at positions 524 to 776 of the family's 1533-position model. The record is from RNAcentral.